Harpegnathos saltator (Jerdon's jumping ant) is the source of this 1428-nucleotide long non-coding RNA. RefSeq lists it as uncharacterized. The record is from RefSeq and is a predicted model, not a curated record. The transcript is spliced from 2 exons. Lineage: Eukaryota; Metazoa; Arthropoda; Insecta; Hymenoptera; Formicidae.
AAUGAAUAAUGAAGGGUGAAUUAGGAAAAGACGCUCAAUUGAUAUCCAUAGUGUCGGGCUCGGGUAUAAAAAGGGCUCGGCCCUUCGCGCGCUAGGCAGUCUCUCGUCAGUCUCUAAGCAGUCUCUUGCCCCACAAAGGCAUCAACGUUAUAUCCACAUCGAAUCCGCGUAAUUUACGUGGACUACGAGGAUGGACAUUUAUCGAAAUAUCGACGUGAAUCUAACGUUCUUUUGUCAUCGAUAAAUCGAAGCAUUUCAUCCUCGAAAUAUCAAUAUAGAUUCUACGUAGAUAUUUCGAAAUAUUCCUGCGAAAACAUACGUCGAAAUAAAGAAAGAUGUUCUAUUUUUAAUGAUAUAAUCUAUAAGUAUGUGAUUGCUCUGGAACUUUAAAAACCCUGUAUAAAAUUAAUCAAUCAAGGCAUAUUGUUAAUCGCAAUGUCACUUUUGAGAGGUAAUGAAAUAUACGAAUAUUUGGAUCUCCAUAUAUAUUACAGAUAAGAUAAUUUUGUAUUGUAAAAAACAAUUUUAUUCUAUAGAAGAAAGAAACAGUGAUAUAGAUUAUAAUAAUUAUAGAAUAAAACAAUAUUAAAAUAAUUUUAUAUUUAUUAUAUUUGAUUUAUAUGUUACAUGGUUUUCUUUACACACAAACAUUCAAUUCGAUACUAUACUAAAACAAUAUUUCAGAAUGGGGCAUUGGAAAACAGACGCUUUUUGAUAUAAUUGUAUUAUCUUCCGCAUUCUUUUCAGGGAAGGGUAAUAAUACAAUUUUCCUUUUAACAUCAUCUAAGCACCACCUGUGUAAAAGUCCAAGAGUGCUAACUAUAUAUAUGUUUAUAAGACUUGAUGAAAAUGGAUACGAAAAGAGAUUAGAUUUUUCUUCAAAUUUUCUGCCAAUUAAAUAAUUUCUUUCCGUACAUUUUAUAAUUUUUUCAAUCUUAAGCACCUCAUUGGGUUUUGUAAGGCAAUAUGCAUCAGCAGACUGUACAUGAAAAAAUGUAUUUAACAUUCGAACUUUCUUAUAUUGUUGUCCUUGACAGUUUAAAGUUGGCCCUGUAUUAUGAUGCUUUUCAAAUAAUAAUUCAUUUUUUGUAGCAGAGAAAUGAUGAAGCAUGGCUGCUUUUUCCAUCACACGACAAACUAUUUGAGGAAGUGUCUUCCCUGGUGCAUGCAAAUAGUUUUUCAUACAUCCCAAAAAAAUUUCAAAUUUAAAAGCACUAAAUUCUUCUAGAUGUCCAUGUAACAGACAAUCCGCAGCAAGGUGUAUUAAAUGAUGGACGUUAUAUACGACAAAAGUUUGGCCAUAAAUUUUACAACUGUGUUCUACAAACAACCGAAGUAAUUUGUCAGCAUCAACGAUAUAAUCUUUAACUAAUAGAGGGUCAACUAAAAUUCGAACAGCACUAGCAAAUAAAAGAAAAUUUUUAUAUA